GAAGUCAGAUUUUUCUUUUGACUUUUGGAAAACCUUCAUAUUAUUGAGAAAAAACAAAUAAAUUAUAGAGAAAAAGAGAAUACAGUAACAACACAACACAAGAGGUUAACAUAAAAAUUCUAAAAUUAGAGAAAAAUCACGACCGUUGUCAAAUGACAACUAGAGAAUAACACUAUGUGAACAUUAUUAUAACAUAUAGACUAUCCCCAACCACCCAAAAUC
Molecule: long non-coding RNA, 222 nt
Filed under: Lathyrus oleraceus (garden pea)
Lineage: Eukaryota; Viridiplantae; Streptophyta; Magnoliopsida; Fabales; Fabaceae
Description: Pisum sativum (pea) long non-coding RNA (PSAT_LNC003988)
Source: RNAcentral